AGAGUUUGAUCCUGGCUCAGGACGAACGCUGGCGGCGUGCUUAACACAUGCAAGUCAAGGGGGCCCAGCAAUGGGCAACCGGCGAACGGGUGCGUAACACGUGAGCAACCUACCGAACUGUGGGGGAUAGCCGGCCUAACGGCCGAGUAAUACCGCAUACGCUUUCGAUGAGGCAUUUCAUUGAAAGGAAACCUACGGGACAGAUCGAGGGGCUCGCGGCCUAUCAGCUAGUUGGCGAGGUAACGGCUCACCAAGGCGACGACGGGUAGCUGGUCUGAGAGGAUGGCCAGCCACAUUGGGACUGAGAUACGGCCCAGACUCCUACGGGAGGCAGCAGUGGGGAAUCUUGCGCAAUGGCCUAACGGCUGACGCAGCGACGCCGCGUGUGGGAUGAAGCUCCUCGGAGUGUAAACCACUGUUGCCCGGGACGAAUAGCUCGAUUAAUCGAGCCUGACGGUACCGGGUGAGGAAGCACCGGCUAACUCCGUGCCAGCAGCCGCGGUAAUACGGGGGGUGCGAGCGUUGUCCGGAAUCACUGGGCGUAAAGGGCGCGUAGGUGGUUUGAUAAGGGUGUGGUGAAAGUCCGGGGGCUCAACCCCGGAUCUGCCGUGCCGACUGUCAAACUCGAGGGCUGUAGAGGCAGACGGAAUUCCGGGUGUAGCGGUGGAAUGCGUANAGAUCCCGANGAAGACCGGUGGCGAAG
Molecule: ribosomal RNA, 703 nt
Filed under: uncultured bacterium
Lineage: Bacteria
Description: bacterial SSU rRNA
Rfam family: Bacterial small subunit ribosomal RNA
Source: RNAcentral